Long non-coding RNA from Lagopus muta (rock ptarmigan), 469 nucleotides. RefSeq lists it as uncharacterized. The record is from RefSeq and is a predicted model, not a curated record. The transcript has 3 exons. Lineage: Eukaryota; Metazoa; Chordata; Aves; Galliformes; Phasianidae.
AGAAAACUCAGAUGCAAGCUAUCAAAUACUGUGUGCUGGGCACUGUGCAUACUGCUCCAAGAUGUUAUUACAGGAUCUUUGAGGGAAUCUCUGCAGUGAUCUUUCGAACCUGGCUAUUGGCACUGCAGACACAUCUACAGUUAGUGUGUUCCUGGUGUAAAACUUGAAAAACUGGAGGGGCUGGAGGAGCACCAGCUUCUCACAGCCCCUUUGUGCACAUUGCUGCUUGGUGGGGGGACGGAGAAACCUCUGUGCUGAUUCACCUUGCAGCCUAGAACCCCAUUUCUCCUUCCAUCUCCCCUUUUCUCUGUACACAGAGGAUCAGACCCGUGAUUUAUGCUGGGGCAGUGUAUAUAAUAUUCUCACUUUCAUGUUAUAAAUGUUUAACAAAUCCGUAAGGUAUCAAAAGAGCUCUCGGGGGAGAUUUGCUAAGAAGAGCUGGUGGAUAAACCUUUCGGGCUUGGCUGGA